RNAcentral lists this ribosomal RNA (253 nucleotides) under uncultured bacterium. RNAcentral's name for it is "partial 16S ribosomal RNA". It matches the Rfam family "Bacterial small subunit ribosomal RNA", at positions 524 to 776 of the family's 1533-position model. The record is from RNAcentral.
UACGUAGGUAGCAAGCGUUGUCCGGAUUUACUGGGCGUAAAGGAUGCGUAGGCGGACAUUUAAGUCAGAUGUGAAAUACCCGAGCUUAACUUGGGUGCUGCAUUUGAAACUGGGUGUCUAGAGUGCAGGAGAGGUAAGUGGAAUUCCUAGUGUAGCGGUGAAAUGCGUAGAGAUUAGGAAGAACACCAGUGGCGAAGGCGACUCACUGGCCCGAUACUGACGCUGAGGCACGAAAGCGUGGGGAGCAAACAGG